RNAcentral lists this ribosomal RNA (397 nucleotides) under Escherichia coli. RNAcentral's name for it is "partial 23S ribosomal RNA". It matches the Rfam family "Bacterial large subunit ribosomal RNA", at positions 231 to 667 of the family's 2925-position model. The record is from RNAcentral. Lineage: Bacteria; Pseudomonadati; Pseudomonadota; Gammaproteobacteria; Enterobacterales; Enterobacteriaceae.
GAGAUUCCCCCAGUAGCGGCGAGCGAACGGGGAGGAGCCCAGAGCCUGAAUCAGUGUGUGUGUUAGUGGAAGCGUCUGGAAAGGCGCGCGAUACAGGGUGACAGCCCCGUACACAAAAAUGCACAUGCUGUGAGCUCGAUGAGUAGGGCGGGACACGUGGUAUCCUGUCUGAAUAUGGGGGGACCAUCCUCCAAGGCUAAAUACUCCUGACUGACCGAUAGUGAACCAGUACCGUGAGGGAAAGGCGAAAAGAACCCCGGCGAGGGGAGUGAAAAAGAACCUGAAACCGUGUACGUACAAGCAGUGGGAGCACAGAGCAAUCUGUGUGACUGCGUACCUUUUGUAUAAUGGGUCAGCGACUUAUAUUCUGUAGCAAGGUUAACCGAAUAGGGGAGCC